CUUUGGUGAAGAUGAGAUCACGAGUCUGAAAGGGAAUAUCCUUGUCCAGGUACCCUCUUUUCAUGUUGUGUUCUACAGCAUGGAUUUGGGGACCUUGGGUUACAAUUUGAGUGACUUUAGAGGCAUUUGUCUGAGAAGG
This 139-nucleotide small nucleolar RNA is filed under the name Pterocles gutturalis (yellow-throated sandgrouse). The record is from RNAcentral. Lineage: Eukaryota; Metazoa; Chordata; Aves; Pterocliformes; Pteroclidae.